GGUUAGCUGGUAUGAGAGGAUGAUCAGCCACACUGGAACUGACACACGGUCCAGACUCCUACGGGAGGCAGCAGUGAGGAAUUUUGCGCAAUGGGGGAAACCCUGACGCAGCAACGCCGCGUGAGUGAAGAAGGCCCUUGGGUCGUAAAGCUCUGUCAAUGGGGAAGAAGUUAUUAUGUAUUAAUAGUGCAUUUUAUUGACGGUACCCAUGAAGGAAGCACCGGCUAACUCCGUGCCAGCAGCCGCGGUAAUACGGGGGGUGCAAGCGUUAUUCGGAAUUAUUGGGCGUAAGGGCACGCAGGCGGUCCUGUCAGUCAGAUGUGAAAGCCCGGGGCUCAACCCCGGACGUGCAUUUGAAACAGCAGGACUUGAGUACGGGAGAGGAAAGGGGAAUUCCUGGUGUAGAGGUGAAAUUCGUAGAUAUCAGGAGGAACACCGGUGGCGAAGGCGCCUUUCUGGACCGAUACUGACGCUGAGGUGCGAAGGCGUGGGUAGCGAACGGGAUUAGAUACCCCGGUAGUCCACGCAGUAAACGUUGUAUGCUAGGUGUAGCGGGUAUUGACCCCUGCUGCGCCGCAGUUAACACAUUAAGCAUACCGCCUGGGGAGUACGGUCGCAAGACUAAAACUCAAAGAAAUUGACGGGGGCCCGCACAAGCGGUGGAGCAUGUGGUUUAAUUCGACCAACGCGAAGAACCUUACCCAGACUUGACAUCUUGAGAAUCCUUUCGAAAGUUAGGAGUGCCUUCGGGAGCUCAAAGACAGGUGCUGCAUGGCUGUCGUCAGCUCGUGUCGUGAGAUGUUUGGUUAAGUCCAGCAACGAGCGCAACCCUUGUCUUCAGUUGCCAGCACGUAAUGGUGGGAACUCUGAAGAGACUGCCCCGGUUAACGGGGAGGAAGGUGGGGAUGACGUCAAGUCCUCAUGGCCCUUAUGUCUGGGGCUACACACGUGCUACAAUGGUAUGUACAACGGGCAGCAAGCGUGCGAGCGCAAGCAAAUCCCUUAAAGCAUAUCCCAGUCCGGAUUGGAGUCUGCAACUCGACUCCAUGAAGUUGGAAUCGCUAGUAAUCGUGGAUCAGCAUGCCACGGUGAAUACGUUCCCGGGCCUUGUACACACCGCCCGUCACACCAUGAGAGUCGAUUGUACCCGACGUCACUGGGCCAACCCUUCGGGGGGGCAGGUGCCUAAGGUAUGGUUGAUAAUUAGGGUGAAGUCGUAACAAGGUA
Molecule: ribosomal RNA, 1227 nt
Filed under: metagenome
Description: bacterial SSU rRNA
Rfam family: Bacterial small subunit ribosomal RNA
Source: RNAcentral